GCCUGGUGGCUCAGUUGGUAGAGCAUGUGACUCCUGAUCUUAGGGUCCUGAGUUCAAAUCCCACAUUGGGCA
This 72-nucleotide transfer RNA is filed under the name Ailuropoda melanoleuca (giant panda). It matches the Rfam family "tRNA". From Rfam's summary of the family: Transfer RNA (tRNA) molecules are approximately 80 nucleotides in length. Their secondary structure includes four short double-helical elements and three loops (D, anti-codon, and T loops). Lineage: Eukaryota; Metazoa; Chordata; Mammalia; Carnivora; Ursidae. The record is from Rfam by way of RNAcentral.